CGCUUAGUCUCGCUUUUUCGACUAAAGUUGAAGGCUCAACAAAAAUAAUUAUGAUCUUCAUGUAUGAUAUAAUAUUAGAUGACACCAUGUGACAAUAUCAACAUCAUGUAUCGUAUCAAAAAGUAUCUCGUGUUUCAAACUGACAAAUGAUUGAAAUUUUUUUUUGGUGUUGAAGCUCAUUUCAAGGUAACAGUCUGCGGGAAGACAUGGGCAGAAAAAUGGCAAUAGUUCACAGUAUUGGCCUAAACUUUGGCCGGAUUGUUGAUACUACUAUUUUAACUGAUCAUCUUUGGAGUAUAAGAGAGGCAGAAGAUGGCAAAGGAUAUUCGAAGAUCUUCAAAGUCUAAAGUCGAAAACUAUUUUACAUUGCCAUGCAAAGAAACGAGAAUAACAGACU
This 397-nucleotide long non-coding RNA is filed under the name Mytilus galloprovincialis (Mediterranean mussel). Lineage: Eukaryota; Metazoa; Mollusca; Bivalvia; Mytilida; Mytilidae. The record is from RNAcentral.